GACCAUGUGGCCUAUUGGCUAAGAAGGUGUCUGACUUAUGAUCAGAAAAUUGAGGAUUGAAAUCCCUUUGUGGCUG
RNAcentral lists this transfer RNA (76 nucleotides) under Scleropages formosus (Asian bonytongue). It matches the Rfam family "tRNA". Rfam says of the family: Transfer RNA (tRNA) molecules are approximately 80 nucleotides in length. Their secondary structure includes four short double-helical elements and three loops (D, anti-codon, and T loops). The record is from Rfam by way of RNAcentral. Lineage: Eukaryota; Metazoa; Chordata; Actinopteri; Osteoglossiformes; Osteoglossidae.